GCACUUGAGGAGUGUGUGGGUGGAGGUCAGAGAACACCUUAUAUAGGAGUUGGCUUUCUCCUUCUAUCAUGUGGGCCCUGAAUCUCAAACUCAGGUGGUUAGGCAGGACUGCGAGGGCCUUUACCUACUGAGUCUUAUCUCUGCUACCCAAGUGAGUUUUUGUGUUACUCUGCUUACAACAAAGUUCAGAGUUAUUCUGGGCAGGUUUUAUUAUCUCUUGUGUCAGAUGAAGGCAUAGGCUCUAAGAGCUGGAGGGAGAGUUUGAAAGUCAUGUCACCCAGCAAAAACGUUGGUGGGAGUGGGGCAGGGCGCGAAGUGAGUUAGUUCUUCUUAACUCCUUCCUGUUGCGGAUCUGCUCCGUGGAUGGGGUGGGGGUGUGGUAGCUCCUGAUAAAAGGAGGAGGAGUUUACUCCUUUUCCUCCCCCAGGAAUCUCCUUUAGAGAUGUGGAGGGAAGAGGGACAGAAGGAAAUGUAGACCACCGCUUAUCUUCAAGCCUGUCCUUUUGAUUCAGACCUUUGAGCAGGGCUCUUUGAAGAGGUGUUUUCCUCUUAUCUCCCAUCAGCCGCAGGGAGCCAUACAGACCCGGGUCAGGGGGAUGUGGUAGGGUAGGUGUGCUUUUGAAGUCGGCCUCCCUUGCUUGUUCUGCCCCCAUACAUCAGCCUGGUCAUUCAUCUUUGAUUACUUUCAUCCAUUUAGGUUUAUCUGUUUCUGAGAAAAACUCCCUGAUGUUGGGGACUAAGGGUCUCCCACAGGCUAGAUACUUGCUCAAUUGCUCAGCCCCAAAACUUCUCUCUUAAGCUGUAAAUAUUGCUGGGGCUAUAUCUCACCCUCUAGCAGUCUGCACUGAGACAGCCCACAGAGAGGGCUGCAUAUAGGGCACUGUGCACUUACUGGGAUGCCAGAUGCUGCUCUGAGCAGCCAGUGGGUGCUAAUUCAUUUAUUUCUUGCAACAAAUCAAUCAGGUGGGUACUAGUGUUGUGCCUAUCUUAUAGGUGAUACACCGAGACCCAGAGAGGUUGAGCAGUUUGCCAGGUUACCCAGCCAGGAGGUGGUAGAGCUGAUAUUAUAGGGCAGGUAGGUGGUUCCCAGGCUGUUUGCAAGGGCAGAGCCCAAGAGGGAGGAAUUUGCUCAAGGUGGGGAAUAAAAAAAGCCAGCAGGGCACACUGAAAACAAAUGACUUUCAUAAUUUUCUGGAGAGUUGCACACGCCCAUCGGGAUUUCCCUUCAUCGUGAGAAAUGAGGAAUAUGGUAUUGAGGAAACUGAGGCCCGGAAAGGAGCGGAGGGAACAUUCAUUUGCCCGUUUAAUUGGAUUGGACUGAUUAAUUCAAUGACUCAUCCUCUCAGUGACUAAUUAUUGACCACUUUAUAGGUAUGGGCCAGAGGCAGUCCCCAGAGGAUAAAGACAGACAGCUGUGUGGGAUGGGACCCAGACUCCCAUCUCUCGGAUGCCCAUUUCAGUGUCUCAGGAAAGGGAUUGUGGGCCUUGCCCUUGAGCAUCCUGGCCUCUUAUACAGAUUAAACAGCAACAGAAAACCGAGGCAGCCUGAUCUUAACUCCUGCUUAAUGUCUGCUGUAGUCGGAAUAUGAAAUGUUCCUAAAGACUCGUGUGCUGAAGGGUUGGUCCCCAAAGUAGUGUCUAUCAGUGGUGAGCCUCUGGGAAAAGACUAGAUUAGGAAGACUAGGACUUUAAUAAAAAUAUUUAAAUUAUUUAUUUAUUUGUGUGUGUGUGUGUGUGUGUGUGUGUGUGUGUGUGUUCAGGUGCCCACAGAGGGCAGAAGAGGAUGUCAGAUCCCCUGAACUGAGGUUACAGGUAGAUGUGAGUCCCCCAGUAUGGGUGGGUGCAGGGAAUUGAACUGGGAUCCUCUGCAAGGGCAGCAAGUGUUCUUAAGCCCUAAGACACGUCCCCAGCCCUAAUCAAUGGCUUUAUCAGGUGAUAAAUUAAUUAUUCCCUGGCUUUUCCAGAUGCUGGAGGAGAUUGGGAGGUGGAGCUUAGCUGGAGAGAGCAGGUUUCUAGACUGUCACCCUGAAAGAGGGUACUGGGUCCCUGCUCUAUGACUUGCUAACUCCACUCUCUGGCUACCAUGAGGGCAGUGGCUUUGCUGUGCCACAAGUUUUCUGCCAUAAUGUGUGGUCUUACUUCAAGCCCAGAGUGAGGGAGCUGAGAGAGACACCAUGCACUGAACCCUUUGAAACCAGAAGGCUUCAAAAUAAAUCUUUCACCCUGUUUUUUUGUUUUGUUUUGGUUUGGCUUUUGUUGUUUUUGUUUGUUUUGUUUUGGUUACAAUGAUGGAGCACUACCACUCGCAAGAACACUUGCUAUCAAGUCCAGGCUGUCCUGGAAUUUUCUUAUGUAGUCCAUGUUGGUCUGCAAUUCCUUGACUGCCUUCCCCCCGAAUUCUAAGUACCAGGUCGAUAGGCGCAUGCCUGGUAACUCAAAGAUGAAGUCAGCUUUCUGCUAACAUUGAUUGAACAAUGUCUGGGGUGCAGAUAUCAUUCUAGGUGCGUUUGGACAGUGGUCACUUAUACAUAAGGAGAAUCAUUAAGGACCAUGAAAGGACUCUUCAGUGGGAAACAGGGACCAUGGCUACCCCAGGGAGUCUCCUCAUUCUGCCUUCUGAGUUAACAACUGGAGCCAACGGGAAUCCAUGCCCUGGGGAGAUCUGGGUGGGUGGCCAUCUGUGGGCAUGUGAGAGAUGAUGUCUUCUGGUUUUGACCUUUCUUGUGAGAAUUGGCCAUGAAGGUAAUGGUAUCUGUGUGGUUUUCCCUCCAGAUUUGUUCACUGUGCUCCUUCCUAAGCCAUCUAAGAUGUGGAGUCCCAAACCCAAUUAUGUAAACAUUCUUUAAAAAAAAAAUCAAAUGCCUGUCCACAGCAUGGUGGAUACCUGAAAUCCUGGCAUUCAGGAGGCUGAGGUUAGACAGUCAUGAGUUUGAGGCUGGCCUGGGCUAUGGAGCAAGACCAUAACUCAAAACAGUGAAAAGAAAAAGAAAAACAUGAACAGAAAUAGAGUUUCUUAGAUAAUGUUUUGGUUAUUGCAACUAGUGUCCAGUAAAGAUGAAUUCGCAAGAUGUUAGAAAAAUUCAAGGGGUAUUUAUUUUGAUACCCCACCUCCACUUCCAGCUUCUGCCCGGUGAAUGACUGGAGGAGCUGGGUCUCCACCAAGCUUAUGUCAAAGGAGAGAGGCCAUUCAGAACAGUCAAAAACAGACUAAGGUAUGAAAAAAAAAAAACAUAUUCAACUUAGAAACAGAACCUCCCACCCCCUGAAAAUCACCUGCAACCAUUUGUGUGGAAAGAAACACGCACAACGCAUCCCGUGGCGUAUGAACCUCAGGUGAGAUGAAAAGGCUGCCGAUAUGUAUCUGGACUUCUCAAAUAUUCCAUUAAGAGAUUAUAUCACAGAGGGCUCAGAAUUAAACAGCAUCAGGAGGGAUUUGGUGUGUGGUUGCUUUCUUGGGAGCUGUAAAGACGAACUAUGUAACAUGAACAAAGUGCCAAAUGCCCAUUUUCAUCUCCCCCUCUUGGGCUGAUUUUGCUUGCUCUGUAUGGUGGAUCUGAGCCUGGGGUUCCCCACCCCCACCCCUAGAAGAGCAGUGGGGUCUAUUCCUGGGUACCAAGUGGAGGCACGCUCUCCCUCUCUUCUUGACAAUGCUCCCUAGCACAGCCAUCUCUAUCCUUUCCUCAUCCCAUCUUCAAUUCUACCUCGACUCAAACAGAUCUGUUGAAGAACUUACGGUGGAGUGACCAAGGCGCUGCCAUCUUGUCCUGACUCCUUAUUUUGUCUUCUCAGGCACUAUUUGCAAGGCCUUAGCCCCCUGAGCAGUCAUGUCGACCUUGGCUAAACACUUGAGACUUUUCCCUGACUCUGACCCAUGCCCAGAUGUAUAACAUAAACAACUGGUGUGUUCUACCAAAACAAGCGUUCCUUGGUUCCCCUGGUUCACACAUGAUGAUGUCAUUGUGGGUUUUGCCUGUAUUACUAGUUUUCCCUGGUCUACAUGUGAUGAUGUCAUUUUAGGUUUUGCCUGUAUAAAUGCUCUUGAGCUCUGGUACUAAGAAUUCUUUGGGGGGCAAAAAAAGCCCUUUUCUCUGUCGUUGGUUAAUAAAGGACUCUAAUUGGG
Molecule: long non-coding RNA, 4120 nt
Organism: Mus musculus (house mouse)
Lineage: Eukaryota; Metazoa; Chordata; Mammalia; Rodentia; Muridae
Product: predicted gene, 39150
Exons: 2
Source: RefSeq, a predicted model, not a curated record